Molecule: long non-coding RNA, 586 nt
Filed under: Androctonus crassicauda
Lineage: Eukaryota; Metazoa; Arthropoda; Arachnida; Scorpiones; Buthidae
Source: RNAcentral
CGGGAGCAUGAAAAUAUAUCGUUGCAUCGCGAAAUUCGUUAAUUCUGGGUUCGUUAAAUCGUGGCUCGACUAUAUUCCUAAAAGUAAAAUUUUAAAAAAUAAAUGGACUUACUGGAAACUGAUAUACAAAACAUACUUAUUUGCAUAUAAAAUCUGCAAACAUACAAUAAAAAACAAGUAUUUAAGAAAACUUAAACAAUACCAUUAUGGGUAAGGGAUCAGAAUAUACCCACCGAUUGAUAUCGAGCAGUGGCGUAACAAGGGGGGAGCGAAAUGGGGUUCCAGACAGCAACGGACCUCCGAAGACUUCUGAAGACGGGGUUUUCAGAGUCAGGGUUCUCGGGACGGUCUACCCCUCCCCCAGGCCCAGGAGGAGUCCCACCCGUCCUUUCCUGGUCUUCCACCCGUCCCCACGGGAGGGGUGGAGGUUCAGAAAGCAGAGUUUCCUGCAGCAGAAGUCUUCCCCUAGAGGGCCUCUGAUCUAGAGGAUCUCCGAAGAACAGCAUAUUAACAAGAUUUAUAAGAUAUGUGUUUGUUUGCUAGAUAUAAGUUGUUUUUUCUUUAUUCUUAAGAUCUUUUGUUUUCA